AUUGAACGCUGGCGGCAGGCCUAACACAUGCAAGUCGAGCGGAGCGGCGGACGGGUGAGUAAUGCCUAGGAAUCUGCCUGGCAGUGGGGGAUAACGUCCGGAAACGGGCGCUAAUACCGCAUACUAUCAGAUGAGCCUAGGUCGGAUUGGCUAGCUGGUGGGGUAAAGGCCUACCAAGGCGACGAUCCGUAACUGGUCUGAGAGGAUGAUCAGUCACGCUGGUACUGAGACACGGUCCAGACUCCUACGGUGUGCAGCAGUGGGGAAUGUUGGGCAAUGGGCGAAAGCCGGAUACAGCCAUGCCACGUGUGUGGAGAAGGUCUUCGGAUUGUAAAGCACGUUAAGUUGGGAGGCGUUACCAUCAGAAUAAGCACCGGCUAACUUCGUGCCAGCAGCCGCGGUAAUUC
This 407-nucleotide ribosomal RNA is filed under the name uncultured bacterium. RNAcentral's name for it is "partial 16S ribosomal RNA". It matches the Rfam family "Bacterial small subunit ribosomal RNA", at positions 30 to 526 of the family's 1533-position model. The record is from RNAcentral.